GGAUGAGAACAGGUUGCUUCCCGCAAUGAAUAAAAUAUGGCCCUUUUUGGUUGCUUGCAUUCGGAACAAAAACCCAGUGGCUGCACGAAGAUGUUUAAAUGUGAUAAGCAGUUCAGUACAAAUCUGUGGAGGAGAUUUCUUCACACGACGUUUCCAUACAGAUGGAUCUCAUUUCUGGAAGCUUCUGACGUCGUCUCCUCUGAGGAAACAAAACGUGAGAGAUGAGAAGGCAGUGCUACAACUUCCCUAUCGAAACGCAUCUAUAUCAUCAGAGGCCUCGGUCGCUGAAAGUUCCAAUUUGAAAGUUCAGGUCGAACUGCUGAAUAUGAUUGCUGAUCUAUCUAGAAACAG
This 351-nucleotide unclassified non-coding RNA is filed under the name Hevea brasiliensis (rubber tree). The record is from RNAcentral. Lineage: Eukaryota; Viridiplantae; Streptophyta; Magnoliopsida; Malpighiales; Euphorbiaceae.